GAGGAAUAUUGCGCAAUGGGGGCAACCCUGACGCAGCGACGCCGCGUGAGUGAGGAAGGCCUUCGGGUCGUAAAGCUCUGUCAAGAGGAAAGAAGUGCAUAGUAGUUAAUACCUGCUAUGUUUGACGGUACCUCUAAAGGAAGCACCGGCUAACUCCGUGCCAGCAGCCGCGGUAAUACGGAGGGUGCAAGCGUUGUUCGGAAUCACUGGGCGUAAAGGGCGCGCAGGCGGCCUGGUAAGUCAGAUGUGAAAGCCCACGGCUUAACCGUGGAAGUGCAUUUGAAACUGUCAGGCUUGAGUACCAGAGGGGAAAGUGGAAUUCCCGGUGUAGAGGUGAAAUUCGUAGAUAUCGGGAGGAAUACCGGUGGCGAAGGCGACUUUCUGGCUGAGUACUGACGCUGAGGCGCGAAAGCGUGGGGAGCAAACAGGAUUAGAUACCCUGGUAGUCCACGCCGUAAACGAUGUCAACUAGAUGUAGGGGGUGUUGAUCCCCUCUGUGUCGCAGCUAACGCAUUAAGUUGACCGCCUGGGGAGUACGGUCGCAAGAUUAAAACUAAGUU
RNAcentral lists this ribosomal RNA (560 nucleotides) under uncultured delta proteobacterium. Its description in RNAcentral is "bacterial SSU rRNA". It matches the Rfam family "Bacterial small subunit ribosomal RNA", at positions 356 to 906 of the family's 1533-position model. Lineage: Bacteria; Deltaproteobacteria. The record is from RNAcentral.